CCUACGGGGGGCUGCAGUGGGGAAUAUUGCACAAUGGGCGCAAGCCUGAUGCAGCCAUGCCGCGUGUGUGAAGAAAGCCUUCGGGUUGUAAAGCACUUUCAGCGGGGAGGAAGGCGGUGAGGUUAAUAACCUCAUCGAUUGACGUUACCCGCAGAAGAAGCACCGGCUAACUCCGUGCCAGCAGCCGCGGUAAUACGGAGGGUGCAAGCGUUAAUCGGAAUUACUGGGCGUAAAGCGCACGCAGGCGGUCUGUCAAGUCGGAUGUGAAAUCCCCGGGCUCAACCUGGGAACUGCAUUCGAAACUGGCAGGCUAGAGUCUUGUAGAGGGGGGUAGAAUUCCAGGUGUAGCGGUGAAAUGCGUAGAGAUCUGGAGGAAUACCGGUGGCGAAGGCGGCCCCCUGGACAAAGACUGACGCUCAGGUGCGAAAGCGUGGGGAGCAAACAGGAUUAGAUACCCGGGUAGUC
Molecule: ribosomal RNA, 465 nt
Filed under: uncultured Klebsiella sp.
Lineage: Bacteria; Pseudomonadati; Pseudomonadota; Gammaproteobacteria; Enterobacterales; Enterobacteriaceae
Description: bacterial SSU rRNA
Rfam family: Bacterial small subunit ribosomal RNA
Source: RNAcentral